UCUCUCUUUCUCUCUCUCUCACUCUCUCCCUCUCCCUCUCCCUCUCCCUCUCCCCCCCUCUCUCUCUCUCUCUCUCUCUGUAAAUUUAAAAUGUAAAUUUUUUUUAGAAAAAUUUAAUUUUAAAAACUUUACAUUUAAAAUCUAAAUUUAAAAUUAAAUAUUUUAAGUUUUAAAUUUUUUAUUAUUUUAAAAUAAAUUUAAAUUUAAAAUAUAAAAUGUUGAAGUUUAAAAUUUAAAUCUUAAAAUUUGAGAUUGAAAUUUUAAUAUUUGAAAUUUAAUAUUUGAAUUUUUUUAAUUCAAUUUAUAAUUUAAUAUUUAAAAUAUUUAAAUUUGAAAUUUAAAAGUUAAAACUUAAAAUUUAAAAAUUUUAUAUUUUAUCUUAAUUACUAAAACUAAAAUUUAAAAUAUUCAAAGUUUAAUAUUUAAAAUUUUUAAAUUCAAUUAAUAAUUUAAUUUUUAAAAUAUCGCAAUUUGAAAUUUAAAAUUUAAAACUUAAAAUUUAAAAAUUUUAUAUUUUAUUUUAAUUACUAAAAGUAAAUUUUUCAAUUUUACAUUUUUAAACUUUAAAUUCCAGUUCCUAAAUUUUAAAAUUUACAUUUUAUAUUCAAAUUUUGUAUUUUAAAAUUUAAAAUAUAAAAUCUAAUAUUUGAAACCUAAAAUUUUAAAUUUGAUAUUUGAUAUUUAAAAGUUAAAAAUAAUAUUUAACAUCUAAGUCUGAAGGAUGUUUAUUUGAAAUUCAUUAAUUUUGAAUUUAAAUCUGAAUGAUAGUUUAAAAUUCAACUAUAAAAUUUAAAUUUAAAUUUAAAUUUUAAAUCGAAAAUCAAACUGAGAUUUUUGGUUGCCGGUGUUGAUCCGCCGUGAAGCGCGGGCCCUAAACUAGUAUAUAUUAAUGAGUUGGGCUGGAAUACUAUUGAUAAUAUUUUGUCCCUUUUGCUAUUAAGUUAAUUUUUAGCCCUUGGAUGAGAAAUUGUAGGAUUAUAAUGAUAUUAGUCCCUUAGGGUUGAGUUGUCCCGGCCCCCUAGGAUUGAGUUGGUCAUCACUAGAUUAUAAUAUUUAAUCCAAUAGUUAGAAAUGAUCUAAGAAAUUGAUCCAAAACUAAAAUCUUGGUAGCAAAAGAAGGCAAAUACUAUUAAUAGUAUUCUAGCCCAGCUCUCUAUUAAUUAAUAUAUAUGAUAUAUGAUAAUAUGUUAUAUGUGGAACUAAAUAUAUAUCUAGCUAACAUAUGAGAAUAUAUUAUAAAUAGCAUUAUUAUAAUAAAGUUGAACAUAUAUAUCUCUAAAUAUAUGUAGUACAUAAUAUUAUAUAAAGUUAUAUACGUAUAAGUAAAUUUUAUACAUAAUAUAUUAUUUAUUUAUAUGAGGAUUUUUUGUAAAUAAUAAUUACAAUUUUGGAUACUAUGAGGCUUUGAGAUUGAGUUGGAUAUUGAUGAGGAUUUAGGGAUGAACUAAUAAUGUGAUCAAACUCUAGAUAAUUUUUGAACAUACAAAAAUAAUAUUUUAUUUUAAUUUAAUACAAUAACUAAUAUAUAUGCAUGCCCUACGUGACAAAUGCAUAGAGCGGGCCUCAACAAAGCUGAUGGGUGUUGAGCAUCGGCCAUAGGCCUAGACCGGGCCAAAUUUUUUUUAAAAAAGCCCAGUUUUUCUUUUUGGGCUAGGCUUGGGUAUAGAAUGACCCCACGAAAAUCCGAUCAAUUUCACCUGUAGCCACCGAUCAAAAUGCUAUAGGUGGAUAUAUAGUACUAUUUUAAAUCCUAAGGUAGCGUUUGAAUUGGGUACAAGAUGGUGUAUAAGGGCCUUAUGCCCCAUCUUGUACCCAAACAAGAUUUGGUUAAGGUGGGAACUAUAGUUCCCACCCCUGGUGGGAACAAGCUUGGACCCACUUGAGCGCGCGCGCACACACACACACACACACACAGAGAGAGAGAGAGAGAGAGAGAGAGAGAGAGAGAGGUGUUUUAGUUGAUCAAAUAUGAGAUUAUUUCUCUUGUGAAAGUAAUAAGUUAACAAAGGCCAUUUCAAUACUCCUUUCUCUUUUUUCUCUUUUAUCACUACUUUAAUUAGACCAAUUUCUGUUUUAUACUUGUUUUUCCCCCUCAUUUCUCUAGUUAGAAGAUGCUUCUUCUUUUUUUUUAACAAAAAUCAUAUUUUCACUAAAAUAAUUCGUUCAAUUUGGUUGUUUAUUCGGUCCAGAGAUCGAUAAAUAUAUCAUAAUUUUUGCUUCUAUUUUAUGCUUCUUUAUUAUGUGCAUGUAUAUAUAGAGAGAGAGAGAGAUGAGCUAAAAUACUCUUAAAAGCACCAAGGAAGUGAUGCUUUUGAGUUUUUAACCAUUGGAUAGAAAGAUGUAGGGUUGAGAUGAUGGUGGUAAGUGGUGGUAGGGGGUGGUAAGUAGAAUAGUGUUUGAUCCAAGGAAUAUUAGUAAUUAAGGAGUAGAUUCGAGGGCUAGAAACUUAGAAGCAACAAAAAAUUGGUGCCUUACUUCUAAAAGUAUUCUAGCUCAAUUUUAUAUAUAUANAAUUUAAAAUUAUAAGUUUAAAAUUUAAAAAUUUAAAUUCAAUUAUAGGGGUAAUAUCAUUAUUUUCUAUUUAUAACCAUCAACUAUUUCUCUUAUUCCCAAUAACCAUCCAAACACAAUUUUUCUAAUUCCAGCUUAUACUCACAUUUUCAUCCAAACAAAAAAAUAUCUUUAUUCUUACAAAAAUCCAUACUUGUAUCUAUCCUUGGAAUAACUAGUUCCUACUAAUUUCCGAACCAAACGAAGCCUAUAAGAGUGUCACAAUCCUCUCUCCUUUAAGCUUUGAUGUCCUCGUUAGAUUCUAGCACACUUGCAAGCACUAAGUGAUGUGAGAUUCGUCUUGCUGGCCUUUGCUGAUCUUGUUGGGAGAGCCUGCCAUCCACACCAGUCACAUUAGUUGAGGAGCCGCGCUCUUCCCGUUGUAUGACCUAGCUCUGCUGAGACUUAUUCUAUAUUUUUCAGCUGGUGAUUAACUCUGAUACAAACUAUGACGUUCCGCUUUUCAGAGGGUUAUUUAUCUUUGAACUACUCUAAUUCUAAUAUGUUUAACUCCCUUAACCUUUUGGAUAUGAUCAUCGCCCAAAAUGCUAUAAUUGAGUUAAUAGGUUUAGUCUUACUAUAUACAUAACAGACUAUUCCAAAUUUUAGGAGUAUUAUAAUUUACAUACUAAUAAUUGGGUAUCAAGGCAGGUAAUGAGAUUCCAAAGAAUGUGCGCAGGACUCAUAUAAUAUGGUCAUAAUUAAGUCUAUUCAUGAAGGUAGUUGAUGAAUUUUUUGUGACUACACUCCAACAGUACUAGGUUUUAGUUAAAUGUUGUUGCUUAGAAGAAAAAGAGUCUCUCUUUGACUGCAAUAAAGAAAGUGGGUUUGAAUGCUCUACCUACUCUCUAAUAAACUACAUGCGAGCAAUAAACUAAACACAAGAGUCAAAAAUGCAUCACUACAAGCAUUUGACUAUUGUUAAGAGGCGCUGUUUAGUUCAACCUUUUAGCCAUCAUUAUUGUUGGAAUCUACAGUAAAGUAAUGUCCAAAUAGAGCUAGUUAAAGAAAAAAAAAAAAACAAAAAAGAUCUUAUCUAUACAGCCUAUAUAUUAUAUGGUGUGCAUCUUAUACCACAGAUUCAUUAGUAUUAAAUAAAUAAAUAAAAUAAAUGAGUGAAUUUUAUCCUUUUAAAGGCGAAGAUGUGACAUAUACACCUAUAUUAUAGGUGUACAAGUAGCAUUGCUUAUUUUGAGAAAUACUAAAUAGUUGUUUGUUAAUAAUCCUUAGGGNUUUUUUUUUUUUUUUUUUUUUUUCCCGGUACUCCUCAAAAGAAGUUAUUCGCUGUUUCUUUUAAUAAUGAUGGUAUAAAUCAAAGUAAUCUUUGAGCUUAAUUAAGACCAAGGGGCCAAUCUCUGUUCAGAUUUAUUCCAUACCCCACUAUUUAUAUAGAUAUUCCAUAUGGUAGUAUAUUUUUAAUGAUUAAUAAACAAUCAAAAAGUUGGAGUAACUAGUUUUUAAUUAUAUUGACGGUAUCUAGUGCAGUUAACUAUUGAUGGUUAGAACUCAAGAACUUAAGUUCAAAAACUAUUUAUAUUACAUUUCUAACUGAGUUCAUUUAAGAAAAAAUGAAUGAAACGGAUAGCUUAGUAUCUUUCUUUCUUUCCAAAAAAGAAAAAACAUGAACUAUUUACUGAUUUGUCUAUCACAAGAAGAAAUAAGCAUACCAUGACCUUCUAAUCAAGAAAGUGACUCCUUUACCCAAUGGCUUGUUAAUAAUUAUUACUUUUUUGAAAAUCCUUUGUCAAAAUUAGGUAUGAGGUUCUAUUAAACAAACUCUAAAUGUGCUUUGAGCAUUAAUUUAGGCUUAAUAUGAAAGAGGCUCUUUAUGACCAACUUGAAAUCGAAGUCAUAACUUUGAAAAUAUGAAUCAUAUAUAUAUAUUGUAGCUACAGUCCAAAAGCUUCUAAAAUUAACAGUAGCAAAUCACCUAUAAUUAAUUCCUAGCCUAGCUUGAGGUUACAUUGUUAAUUAAAUCCACCAUACUAUGUGAUAUAUAACACAAAAUCCAUUGAGAUUGCUAAUAAACCCUACUCUUUUUAUCAAUCAUUACGAUGGAUUAUAAAUUUGGUAAUAGAUAUAGAUUGUGUUUCGACCUCAUCGUUUCAAAUGUAACACUUUAAUCUCUCAAAAUUAUUUCAUGAGACAAUUCAAUCAUUCCUUCAGUCUGGUGUUUGUAAAGUACCUGCGAUGUCGGCAUCGUCAUUAGAGUUUCUUCUUUUCUUUUAAUUACAUCUGAAACUCGGAUAAUGAUAUUGAAACUAAGAUCAAAUUUGACAGUCAAAUUGAUACUCAAAGAUGAAAUUGAAAUCAAAGUCAAAUUUGAUAGACUAAAGUGUUAGAAAUCGAAAGUCUGCUGGCGAAAUUGCAAUCCAAGUUAAACUUCGACAACUAAAUUUGUAAUCAACCAUAAACUCUGUUAGAUGUGACUCGAAAUUGAUAAUCAACUUAAGUUCGGAUUUUCGACUCGCCGACAGCUUCGCGGUGCGACCAAAUUGGAAAAAUAAAACUGUGAAGGAAAAAUGAAUGUCUGUGGUGGGUAGCGGAGGGCUCGGAUCGGAUCCGAAACCCGUUAGGAGUUUUCUUUUUCGUUUUUGCCCUAGAGGCGUGAGAUCGUGGUCGGUUGUACUCUUUGAACAUUGUAUUCCCUUUUUUCGUUUGAUAGUGAAGUUCUCUCCUCCCUCUCCCGUGGUUUUCCAUGCAAAGGGUAUUUCACGUAAAUCUGUGUGUUCUUUCAUUCCUGUUUGUGACUUGUUUAUUUCGUGUUUACCAUUUUUGUUUCCGUUUGUGCGUUUGUCGUAACAAACUCUAACUCAUAAAACUUUUGAGGGUGUAGGCCCUCUUUCCUCAUUCUUAAUAAUGUUUCUAUGGUCAAACAAACAUACUUUUGGGAGCUUGGAUGAUCUCAUUUGGCCUUGCCUAAACCUCAUUUUAUCCGAAAUCUACGCAAUUAUUCUUAUGAAGAACUAACUAAUCAUUUCUAAAGAAACUCUGUCGAGCGAAGAGGAGACAACAAACAUGCAAAAACAUUCAUAUAUCGGCGAAUGAUGUCUACAGGCACAUUAUAAAAGGGCGAGUUGUUUAAAAGCUCAAUUAAGUAAACGAAAUCCAGAUUUUUUUUUCAGGGUGGUGAUGCCGAUUUGGUGAUGAGGAUCACUUAAACUAAUGAGUUAAGUUGUAUGUAGAUACUCUCAACAAUGCGCUUUUCUACUUAAACAAAUUGCACAAACGGAAAUUAAGAUGGCUAUGAAGCCUAAUGAAUCCUAUAGUGGAUAUUUAUACAAUAGGUUGUAUUCAUUAGUUGUUUUUCUAUUCCAUUCCUUGUUCUAAGGAUGGUCAAUUUAGAAAGAUCAAUCUAGUAAAUCAUGUGGGACUUAAACUAAUAGCCUCCAUUAUGUAAAGUAGAAAAUAUUCUUUAAUCUUCUUUUUUAGGAAUAAGUUUGUUAUGUAGGUCUAAGCUCUAUUGUAACUGAGCUAGUCCUAAUUUAAGUAUAUAGUCUCACUUUUCAUACCUCCUUUUUUUUGCUGGAGCUAUAUAGGUAUGUGAUUUUAGCCUUUAAUCAAUCUACUUAAUUAGCUAGAUGAGAAGAUAUUUAUAUGUAUGUUGAAUCAAAAUCACCAUGCAUGCACUUUUUACUGUGCAUGCAACCAAGUAGGCAUGAGUUAUGCACUUUGGCUCAAUCGCUUUGCUCCGUGAAAGCAAGAAUAGUAUUUAGAAUUAUCUCAGUUGUAAUUCGAAGAACAUAAUAAAAUAUGAACGAACCUAACUACUCGCAUCGACGGGUCAGGCACAAGAUCACAAGAUGAAAAUUAUACUAACUUUCACAAUCCAAAUAUCCAAUUCACCAAUAAUAGAGAGUUUUUUUUUAGAAAUUCUUGUUAGAUAUGUCUUGAAUUCUGGAAUCACAACGUUUUCUAGCCUUAUUCUGUUUUGAUUAUUCCAUUAAUUAAGUUUAAAUAAAAAUAAUCUAAUUAAGAUAUUCCUACUCUUAAUAGAUUUGUAUUUCCAAUCGUAUUAGGAUUUUACCAUUAUUAUAAAUAUACUCUUUAUUUUAUUAAUUUUGGUGUGGCAGAUGAAAGGGAGUGCGGGUGUAUUUUAUUAAUUUUGGUUUUGUGAAAGAGGUAUAUUUUGUACACCACUUUAAUUAUAAUAGAAGACCUCUGCUAUGUCUUCGCUUGUGGAUGUAGGCCAAUGGCCGAACUACGUAAAUAUUGUGUGCUUUAUUUUUCUUCUCUCUCUCUCUCUCUCUCUCUCGAUUCUCUUUUUGUAUUUUCGCACCCAAUAAAUUAGAUCUUUUCCGCUUAUAUCAUAACAAGCUGAUAUCAGAUUUGGGUAUUUAAGACAUCGACGAAGUUUGAGAUUGGAAAGUUUGAUCGCUCCAAUAGUUUCACUUUACGACAAGUUGUCGUUCUGAUGCAAUAGAGGUUGCAAAAGACGCUAUUGGAGAUGAGAAGAUUGGCACUUUAAAGAACUUUGCGGAUUUGCUCAUUAAGUUUUUCGGUGAUCAAGUUCAAGUAUUUCGUAAACUUUUCGCAUAUGCAACAACACUUCAGGAGCUUUUGGAGGUUUUAGUGAAGAAGAUAGAGAAUUCAAGCCAAUGUGAAGAUUGUUAGAUAUGUCUCGAAUUUUGAAAUCACAACAUUUUCUAACCCUAUUCUAUUUUGAUUAUCCCAUUAAGUUUAGAUUAUGCUUAAUCUAACUAAGAUAUUUCUAGUCUUAGUGGAUUUAUAUUCUUAAUCGUAUUAUGAUUUAACCACUAUUAUAAAUAUAUCUUUUAUUCUAUUAAUUUUGGUGCGGCAAAUGAGAGGAAGUAUGAGAGUACUUUUGGGGACUACGGUUUUAUUAAAGAGUCAUAUUUUGUACAUCAUUUUGAUUAUAAUGAAGAUCUUAUUUGCUAUAUCUGCACCCGUGGAUUAGGCCAGUUGCCGAACCACGUAAAUGUUAUAUACUUUAUUUUUCUUCUCUCUUUCUCGAUUCUCUUUUCGUAUUUUCGUGCCCAACGAAUUAGAUCUUUUUCUCUUUUAUCGUAACAACUCUCUUUCUAUCAAAGAGUAUUAGCUAGGAAGAGAGGCUUUUUUGCACUUUGAGAGAGAAAAAUAAAAUUAACAUCUACGUUCACCUUUCUCUUGUUAGAUUAUGUGAAGCGAUAUCCCGAAUCAAUGUCAUGGUGAAAGAAGUCAAAGAUUUGAGGUUUGGAUGUUGGGUAUCGGAAUUUGAAGUUUGUGUCUGGUAUUGAAGAGUUUCUCAGAGUUCCUCAAAAACUGAAGCAUGAAAAAUCUGUUUUUAUACUGCAUAUCGGUACUCAGCUUUGUGAUGGGCUAAAUAUAAUGGAUUUGAUUUCAAUUUGAUAUAAUCUUAUUCCUAAAGAUUAGGGAUGGAGCAGGACACUUUAGAAAGAAUUCAUAAGAGGAGAUCGACAGUUAGAACUGAAUCGGAGACUCGGAUAGACGAUGGAGAGUGUUUCCUACUAGAAUUGGGGUUUUAGAUUAUAUAAACUUUUGUAAUUAAUCUUUUCGAGAUUAGAGCCUCAUUAUUGAAGGAUUUUCAGGUUGAGAGCUCCAUUAGAAGCACUCUAGUUGAAAGAAUAAUGUGAAAAGCUCAUGAGAGAGUUUUUUGUAAUCCAAUCUUACUCAUACUCUUGUGUCGUGAAGUAAUCGUAGAAUACAUUGAGGUGGUCUUACCCGUGGAUGUAGGUCGACUCACCGUUGGCCAAACCACGUAAAUCCUAUGUUCUUAUGUUCUUUUUGUUGAUGCCAAAAUUAAAAUUAACACACGCCGACCUAACCCACGUAUGAGCCAAAGAAAUAAGGACACAUGGUACACCAGGAGUCGGCAAUAAGGCGCCUGAAGGUCAAGAGCGUUUAGGCGGGAACGGUUGAGAAGUGGGGCAUAACUUCCGUGAGAAGUGAGGCGUAACUUCCAUGAGAAGUGGGGUAUAACAUCCAAGAUCAUGUCUACAUCACUUCCCCCACUACUAAAAACCAACCAAUAAUGUAGGCUGAGAAGACAUUACUAUAAAUAGUAACUUCAAAGCCUGUAAUAGGGGUCUUUCUCUCCCCUGAACGAGAAGAUCACCGCAUUUUCAAUACUUUCCUUUCAUGCAUUUAUCGUUUUCUAGGAGUAGUCUACAUGUAAUCUUUUUUAUCCUCAUUUACUGCUUUCCUAGGAGUAGCUUUUAAGUUAGAUCUCUGGAGUCUGUAUGCCCCACGGGCACACUCUGUUGUAAUUUAGAUUUUCAGAGUCUGUAUGCCCUUCGGGCACACUCUGCUUUAUUAAUAUACAAAGGCAUUCGGCUCUUCAAGUCGACCAAUUCUUGUGUUCUUUAGUCAUUCGGCUCUUCGGCCGACCUUAGUUCUUGCUCGAUCCGUACAUUCGGCUCAUCCAGCCGAACCGAAUUUGUUGUAGAGGUUUCGAACCCGGCUGAUCCGAUCCCUCGUCAGCCGAAUCGCUUGAUCAAUCGAAUGGCGCAAACUUCGAGGGUCACUAAUCAUAGCCGUUCCGCAUUCUGACGCGCUUCUCAAGAAGGAUCUUUGACUAGGUCAAGGAUUAGGGAUUUCGGCUAGCAACACUCUUGUUCGUUUUAUUCUUUUGUUAUCCACAUUCUUAUUUUCUACUGUCGUUCUCCAUCUAUUUUCAUCUAUGAAAGAUUCUAUUUUCGUUGCGGUCAUGUGUUGUGUGGGUUUGAGAUGUGCUCGAUAACCCCUUGGCCAGUCCCCUUUAUCUCUCUCAAAUAAUAACUACACGUACAUGCGAAACAACCGUUGUACUCUAAGCCCCCGUUUGGUUGGGGUAUAAGGGGUGGGAUAAGGGGUUAUCCCACCUCUUAUACCCAAAUAAAAAAAAGGGGUGGGAUUGCUAUCCCACCCUUAACGGGUUUUCCGAGAUAACCUGUUAAGGGGUUGGCUCAGCAAUCCCCACCCUCCCCUUCCCCCUCCCCCUCCCCCUCGAAUAGGCCUCCCUUGGAAUAGAGGUGGGAAGGGUAGGAAUAGCUAUUCCCACGCCUAUUUAAUUUUUAAAUUUAAAUUUAAAAUUUAAAAUUUAAUUAUAAAUUUUAAAAAAUUAUAAUUUUUAACCUUAAAAUAAAAAUUUAUAAAUAUAAAUUCUAAAUUUUAAAUUUGAAAUUUGAAAUUAUAAAUUUUAAAUUGAUAUAUUUAAUUUUUUAAAUUUAAAAUUUAAAAUUUUAUAUUUCUAAAUUUAGAUUUGCUAUUAAAUUUAAAAUUUGAAAUUGAAAAUUUAGAACUUUGAAUUUUUUAAUUUGAGGUUUUUAAAUUCAAAUUUUAAUUUUAAAUUUUUAAAAUUUAAGAGUUAUAUAAAUUUAAAAUUUUAAAUAUAAAAUUUUAAAAAAUUAAUUCAAAUAUAAUAAAGAGGGCAAUAUCAUUAUUUUCUAUUUAUAACCAUCUACUAUCCUUUUUAUUUCACUUACUCCAACCAAAUACUAUUUUGCUUAUACCUGGACUAAACCCAAUACUAAACCAAACACAAAAUUACUCUAUACCCACCUUAUACCUUAUCUUAUGCCUAUUCCUGGAGCAACUAGUUCUUACUUAUAUCCGAACCAAAUGAAACCUAAAAGCUGAAGUUAUUAGAGAACGGUAUAUUUUUAUAUUUAACACUCUCCCUCACGUUUGGGCUCAAGACUUUUUUGCGAGGCCCAUGACGUGGACUUGAAUUAAAUGGGAGAAAAUUAAUAAUGCUAGGAGCGUGGCAUGAUUCAAACUCAGGACCUUCUGUUCUGAUACCAUGUGAAACAACCGUUGUACCCUAAAAUUUUAAGCUAUUAGAGAACGGUGUAUUUUUAUAUUUAACAACACAUAGUAUAGAGUGGUUCUUAAACCAACCAAGAAAACCAUCCAAUAUCUUAAUAAGUUGGGUCAGAUUUGCCCAUCAUGGGUGACCUAAAAUCCAAUUCAAAACCAACACACAACCAUUAUCGCCACCACCAUUGUAAGGUAAAUUGUUGUUGUCAACAUCUUCAUUGUCCACAUUAACUCUCAUACAGUACUAACUAAUGUUACAAUGUAAACAGAAGUGACACUUUAUAAAUUUUCUAUAUUCUACAUCAUUCAAUUAUAAACAAAAUUAAAUACAUCAAGUCCAAUCGUAAAUCUCCCAAAUAUUGUGCCGUCACACAUUUUCAAGAAACAUGUACUCUCUUGAUUUGAUAGUAUCACAGUUACCUCAAAAUGUAUGACAAAUUACAGUUCAUCGAAUGAACCAAUUUUCCUGAGAUGGUUCAAAUUUUCAAUCUGAUUGUCCAUCUAUGACGUGAAGGUAUUUGUCCAAUUUAUGAUUUCCAUUGGUGUCAAGUCCAAUCGUCUAGAUUUGAAAUAUGAAGCAAUUUUCCAUUGGUAGCAAAUAAUUAUUCAUUAAGCGGAGGAAAUGGUAUUAUAAUAAGCAAAAAGGUUAUACUAACGGCAGGUAAUUUGCGAAAGAGGGAAUUAAUGGUUGGGAGAACAACAGUGCAUUUUAUAUGUUACCGAUCGAACUGCAGACAACAGACCACCUUUUUGGAGCUAGGGAGUGUAUGUAAAUGUCCAUCUUUUGUUUCUAUAUUUAGGGUUUGAGAGCCCUCACCCCUCAAAGCGUAAAUUAUAUCAGUAGCCCAAACGGGUUUGUGAACUAUGGACUGCGCUAAGGGUCUGUUUGUUUGCAUGGAAGUGGGGUGGAAGUGGGAGGGGGAAAGUGAUUUUCGGUGAAAACUGAUCACUUCCGUUCUUUGGUUCGCUGUAAAUAAGUUACGGUCGAAACUCCGGUUAACUUAAAACGGCGUAAUUAACUUCGGUCCAUCGUGGGCCGAAGUAAAUUACGGUAAAGAGAAGUAAAGAAAAAAUAAUAAAACAAUAUACUAAGUAAAGAUAUAUAGUUAUAUUUAAAUAUAUUUAAUUAUGGUACUAAUUAUUCUUUUAUUAUUUGGCAUAUUUAAAAUAUAACAAAAUUUGAUUAGUUAAGUUUUAAUUUUUUUAUUUAGUUUGUACAAUUAAAAUAUGAUAAAAAAUAAUUAAUUAAGUAAUAAUUUUUUUAUUUUAUAAUUUUAUUGUUAUAUUACUAUAAUUUAUGUAUAAAAAAAUAAUUUAGUUGUUUUAAAUUAAAUUUUAAUUAUAUAAAAAUAUAAUUAUAUUGUUGAUAAGUAACCUAAUAUUUUUGAUAAGUUUAGAUUUAUUUCUGUCAAGUUUAUCUCUUAACCUCUCCUUUCAACAUAUAUUAUUUUUAUUUAUUAAAUUAUUUAUUAUUUAUAUAUAAAUUAUAGUUUUAUAUCAUACAUUUCCUACCAAACAAACAACAGAACUAAUGGAACAUCACUUACAUAACUACAAAACAAACAGCGGAGAAGAAGAAGUUUUCACCAAACUCCACUUCAAACCAAAGUCCAUUUCAACCCAAAGUCCAGUUUCGGUAAAACAAACAUGCCCUAAAAGAAUAGAGGGAGGAUCAAAAGAAGGACCUUACCUUGCUUGUGGCUAAGUAGUGGCACUACACCAGGAGGACUUUUGAUGAGGGCAUUUACGAUUGCCGGAAAAAGUGUUUGAAGUGCCAGUAAAUAUCUUUAGGAAUAGGAGUCCGUUUCCACUCUAGGGUAGUGUUUGGUUCGGAAACAAGGGGGGGAAUAAGUCCUUGUUCACCCCUUUGUUCCCAAACGGUAUGUUUGGUUCCUGGGAACAGUAGUUCCCGAGUUUCUGGAACAAGCUGGUAUAAGGCUGGAACUGCUGUUCCACCCGUUUCCUGGAACUAGUUUGUUACUUGAUGAGAACAAGAUUAAUUAAAAUCUAAAUUUAAUUUUAAUAGCAGUAAAUUAUUAAUUAAUCUAAUUAAUAUAUUUAAAUUAUUAUUUAUUGCUUUAAUAAUUAAAUAAUUAAUUAAUUUAUUAUUUAUAAUUAAUUAUUAAUACUUAUUAUUAUUUAUAAUUAUUUAUUAAUAAUUAAUUUUAUUAUUUAUUUUUAAAUAAUAUUUUGAUGUUAAUUAAUUAUAUAAUAUAAUUUUAAUUUCAAAUUAUAACUCUUAUUUCUUUUGUUCCAAUUUAACCAUCCAAACACUAUUUACCUUAUUCCUAGGAACAACCCAAUUUUCAUCCAAACGUAAAAUUGGUCUAGUUCUUGCUUAUACUUGAACUUGUACCUAUCCCUGGAACUAGCAAUUCUUACUUAUACUCGAACCAAACGUAGCCUAAGUGUUUGAUGGCAUUCAUAAGCUAGCUGUUGAGCUCUUGGGUUGCGUCUCAACUGUAACGAUAGCUCGACAUCAUCCGGUCUUCUUUUGCCGUGUAUCUCCUCCGCAUUUGUCUUAUUUUCUGUAGUUGAAUUCUUUUCUUUAAUGAAUGAAGUGGCUAGCUUGCUAUCUUUAAUUCUUCAAAAAAAAAUAAAAACCAUCUCUGAUAUGGUUCUGUAAAAACGAUAUCGUGUUGAUUACGUAGCUACUUGACUUGAUGAUCCAAACUCAAUUAGCUAGAUCACACCCAAUAAUGCCAGCUCAAGAGGAAUAGAUUAAAUAUCAUUUUUUUGCAUGACAUGAAUCCCACUUGGUUUAGUAGUUUUGUGUAAUUAUCAUUACUUUAUAGGGCCUACAUGUAUCCUUUUCCAUAGACAUAGAUAAUGCUUGCACAGCUUUCUCUUUACAUAGGUCAUUGUGAUUUUACUUGGUUUGUGGUCCAAUAAGGAACUCUACAUCAAUUAACAUCCAUUAGUGUCGUUUAUGGACCACCUAUAUAAUGUUUUUAAUUAGCGCAUUAUAGGGAAGGGUGGUAACUUCCAAAUAAUGGCCAUUUGUGAUGAAGCAAAAUGACGAUUAGUGUCUAAUCAUUUUUCGUCCGUAGGCGAAUGUUUAAUCAGCAAGUAAGCUAGUUUACUUGUGUACGUAAUACAGCUAUUUAGUGGAUUUGAUCUGUUCAAGAAUAUUGUAGCUGCCUUUUUCGUUAUUAUUAUUAUUAUUAUUAUCAUUAUUGUUUUUUAAUGUGAUAGCUUUAGACCUUGUCAUCAGCUAGGAUGGUUCUUUAUUACGCAAGGCUAGAGAAGACACAGUGCAAAUCUUUAUUUAAUUAUUUCGUGAUUAAUGACAUGCAUGAUAGAGCAUAUAUAGGGUUAUGUGUUUCUCUUGGUUCCCUUGAAGAGUGAAACUAUAAGUUGCACGAAUGAUUGAAAUAGUAGAUACAACACACAGUACUAUUUAAUGGUUGAAUAAGGAAUAUGUAGUAUAUGUGAUCUUAAAUCAGCACAACCAAGUUGCUAAAUGUAUAGUAAAGAUACAUGAGCUGAUUGGCAUGGACUUAAGAAAAAUUGUUUGUCUAGCCCGUGCGGGGCUCGCCUUCUUUCGUGAAGCAAGCUUACCUCUCUAGUUUGUUAGUUUGAACCUACUUGCCCUAGAACUUAGUACAAGAAAGAGAGAGUUUGAGUGCAAUUGAUUUCCUCAAUCUCUGUUUAUCUUGUACUUAGUCCUAGGCCAAUAGGUCCAAACUAGCAAGUAGAGUGACAUGAUGUUUCAGUCAGUGACACGAAUAAAGGCGAGCGCCGCACAAACUUGACGAGCAAUUUUGUUUCAGUCAGUGACAUGAUGCGAAGUUUUCAAUCAAGACUAUAACCACCAAUCUUUGUGCUUUAGAGUACCUUUUAUGCUACGUACCUUCUAUUGAAGAUUAGAGAUAAAUCGUAAUAGAGUUUUUUGUCGUAUUUCCUUCUUGUUUUAAUGCCUGAAAGGAGAUAUAAAAUUGUGCAGAACCAUCCUGAACUUAUUAACUUCGUUUGGAAUCGCGUACGUAUAAACUUUGUUUAUCUUGAUUGUAGCUGGCUAAUCUUUAGUCACUUGGUUUGAGACAUUUAAUGACAACAAAAGAAUAGUUGCAUGCUCUUGACGCAUAUAAACAUCAAUGCACCCAUCUUCAUGAUUAUCCUCCAUCGCAUCUGACCCUGCCAAAUUAAAAACAUAUUCUCUCUGUUAAAAUCGGAACGACAAAAAAUAGAUCCAGGAAAAAUACUUAAUGCACGAAAAGAAAAAGAAAAGAGGAAAGAGCACACCGAUAUUUUAGGUAGUUUGUCCAACGGCCUACGUCCACGGACGAAGACGGAGCAAAUACUUUAUUAAUGUCAAAAGGCGGAGUACAAAGAAGAUCUCUCAAAGAACCAAAACUUAAUUAGAUCGAAAACGCCGAAAUCCGCAUCCGUACAAGCGACUCCAAAUAAGCAGCUCGACUCCUCAACCGUACGGAUGGACCACCAAAAGCUUGAUUUAAUUUGCAUGGCUCUCUUACUUUGAGUCACCGCAUCGUUAACUAGGCCGUAGCAUGUAUAUAUAAUACAUGUCUCCCAACUAGUGUCUAAUCCUAAUUCAAUUAGAAUUAAACUCCUACUUAUAAUCCAUAUAUGCCAAAUUAAAUCUAAAUUAUAUCUAAUCUUAAUUAGAUUAGGAUUUAACUUCAAUUUAGAUAACUACAAAUCUAAACCAAAUAUAACAAUCUCCAUCUUGGUUUAAUUUGUAGUUUAGCCCCCACGAUGUCGAGGUCGCCACAAAACUUGAAAAAUAAGAUAAUGAACUAUAAACAAAGUUUUCAGUAGGUACGGGCAUCCAAGAGAAUAUUCUAACUUACCAGACCUAAAGAAGGCAAUAUAAGCAUAAUCAUAUAAUGAAUAGUCAACUGUAGUAUAUAAACAUGUAUAUCUACUAUGUACAAAAUAAAUAACUAUACUUAUGCCUCAACUAAUAAGAUAAUGAACAUUACAUUUAAUGAUUCAUUUCAUUAUUUUACUGAUCAUUUUCAUUACCCGGUUCUCUGACAUCCCCUAAACACAACUUCCUCCUGAUCCGGUUCUCUAAAAGUCACCGUUCAAUUCUCGCAAUCGAUAGUGGCAAAAUACUUGGCAAGCUAAUCCAUACCCAAAACCACAUCAAACUCUCCAAGUUUAUGCAGUGCUAACAAAUCCACGGGCAUGAUCCAAACCCCUACCCGAACAGGGCAACUGGGGCAAAACUCCCGGAUAUCCAAAGUAUGGUCGGGUACAACAACACGUUCAGGAUACAACAUAGAUACAAGUGGGAUGCAAUGCAACUCGGCAAACAGCCGAUCUAUGAAUGAAUGCGAUGCACCAGUAUCAAAUAAAGCUCGAACUCUUAUGCCAUUUAAUAAAAUGAUAUCUGCUACCACAUCCUCGGCUGCUGCCGUCUCUUCUGUCUAGACCGCAUACAUGCGUCCGCUCGGAGCCUGACGCGACCCCUCAGUCUGACGUUGAACAGGGGGUCGGCUGGUCUGGUAGUGUGUCGAUGGCGUCCCCUGGCUCGGAGCUGAUGAUGAAACAGCCGAUCUAUGAAUGAAUGCGAUGCACCGGUAUCAAAUAAAGCUCGAACUCUUAUGCUAUUUAAUAAAAUGAUACUUGCUACCACAUCCACGGUUGCUGCAGCCUCUUCGGUCUGGACCGCAUACAUGCGCCCGCUCAGAGCCUGACGUGACCCCUCAGUCUGACGCUGAACAGGGGGUCGGCUGGUCUGGUAGUGUGUCGAUGGCGUCCCUUGGCUCGGAGCUGAUGAUGCAAGUGCCGACACAGAUGACGGCGCUGGAUGUGAACCUCUCUGGCACUCUGACCGAAAAUGGCCCUCGUGGCCACAAAGAAAGCAUUUGCCCCUAGGCUGUGGACACUACGGUGGAAGGUCGGGACCACCGCAGAUCACACACUGGGGAGGUUGGCAACGGUCAGAUCCUCUUCGUUGAGUAGAAGAGCCGCGCCCUCGGGACUGGCUCCUCGGGUGCUUCGGCGGCCUCCUAGAGUGCAUCUGGCUGCCACUUUACUCUUGUCAAGGCUUUCUUUGCACUUCUGCACAUCCGCCGCGCCUCUUUCCACGAUAAGCGCACGAUUCACCACAUCCCGAUAAGUCUGCAAGUUCGAUGACUGGACGAAGCGGAAGAUCGACGGCCGAAGGCCCAUCUCGAAAAUACGAGCCUUGUUUUCAUCAUCCCGUACGACGAAAGGCACACAAUGCAGGAGCCGGGAGAACUCCCGCUCAUACUCAGCUACGGUCCGGUCUCCUUGGCGCAAGUUGCGCAAGUCCCUUUCCAUUUGUCUCUUGACACUUUCCGAAAAAUAGGCCGACAACAACAGUUCCUUAAACCGCUUCCAUGUGAUCGCCGACAAAUCCGUGUUGGGGUUAUCUCGGAUGUCCAUCUACCAACGGAAGGCUUCGCUGUCUAGGUGGUGAGUGGCGAGCCAAACUCUAUCCCUCUCCUCCCCGAAGGUAUCAUAUAAUAGCUUCUCCAUAUGUAUCAACCAUUUCUCCACGAUCCAAUGGUCGGCUUCCUUUUCAUUGAAUAUCCGAGGAUUGCACCUCCUAAACUCAUUGAGGCGAUCCAUAAGGCGAUCUCACUCCUCCCCGGCAACCAUCAUAGGGAAAAUCGUCCCCGCCGGAGGCACCUGAACAGGCAGUGCCGCCACAACCUCCUCUUGAGGCUCAGUACUAGGCGCUGCUCGGGACGUACUGAGCGCGGGUGACGGCGCCCUUGCCGGCACAUCCUCUACCGGCUGGGUGGUGUGGGAUCCUGAGUGUCACGCCCUGGAUUUCAGCGGAAGCUCACCGGUCGCGUGCACAGAUCCGCCGUGUACACCACAACUCAUGUAUACACCAGGCGUCUACAAAUAGUAUAGUAAAAGAUUUUGACUAAGGUAUCUGCACCGACUUUGUUGCAAAAAGUACCCAGUGGAGGUACGCCGACGGAAUCAUAGAGUCAGAUACGACGGCAGGGAUAACUACUGCAGGUAGUACUUUAUGCACUACCACGGGGCCAUUAGGCACGGCGCGGCUUGAACUUAACUUGUGUAAGUCCGUUGGAAAUUGGGUUAUGUCAAGUUUACACUGAGCCUCCCUAGCAGCUGACUGCUGAAGCAAUAAGUCCUCCAGUUGCUUCAUCCGCGCCUCCUGUUGGCGUGCCGCAUCGGCUUGCUGCUGAGCCGCCGCCACCUGCUGUGCCACUAGGUCCGUCAGAACAGAAAGCUGGGUCCUUAACUCACGGACCUCAUUGGAUCCGGAGGUAGCGGAGGUCUCCACCUCCUCAAAGUUUGCCGCGUUGUUCGCUCCAGCUGACUUAGAGUGAGUCGUUGGCAUCGCAAGCUACACAUCAUAAAAACGCAAGUUAGUAAAACCCACGCUAUCGUAACUCCACUUGAAGGAAUAACACCCGAAUCAUGCGAAAGUAAUAAAGUGAGGCUCACCAUUAACUCCUGAUGUUACGUUGUCGGCCGCCAACGUACCCCCACACGAAGUUGGAAGUUGCACACUUCGAUUAAACUCCAACAUUUUAGAGUUAAUUCAAAACCCGAUCAUAAUACUUUCGCUCAUAAGUUAAAUAGACCCCGUCUCUCACGAGUCUAUUUUCUAUAGUCCAACUGGCCUAAGGUUUGCUAGGUUCACUAAGACUCAAUCAUAGGCUCUGAUACCAAUAUAAUCUGUCACGCCCGGGACCCAGCGGAAGUCCGCCCGGUGCGUGUCUAGACCCGCCAUAUGCCUACAACAUAUAAGGCAUCUACAACAAUACGAUGAACAAAACAGAGAAAUAAAAACAUCUAGUAUGAUACAGAGCAUAAAUACUGCUAAUCUCUAGAGACAAAUAGGAAAAUAAAACUGAACAACUAAGAUAAACCAUAAGGUAAUACAUACAUCUCAAGGCUCACGAGAAUAAAAAUAAAUACAAAAGUAGUGGUCUCUAUAUAUCGGGUACAAAACGUCUCUCUCCAACUAAAACAAAAGGAGAGAUGACCAUCUAGCAAAAUCACCGAGCUAUCUAGCUAGAUGCGACCGCCUUGCUGCGAUCCCUAGCAUCUUCCGGCGUGGAUGGCUCUGUAAAUAAAAACAUAAAUAAAAUGGGAAUGAGAACUAUUAGUUAAUAGUUCCAAGUGGGUAAGCCACCGAUAUCAGCAAAAUACACCACUAGGUCAUGGAGUCAUGAGUAGUAAAUAACAUAUCUCGAUAAACAACAUGAAUAGUGAGCAAGUAAUAAGAUUUACUAAGCUACUAUGCCUCUACUUAGCAUGAAGUUUCACAAUUAUUUGAGCUAUUCUAACAUGAAUGAGCAUGUCCAACAAGUAUGCACUAUCUAGUAGCAAUGUCCACAUUUUACUUUAAUUGUCAUUAUUCAAUUUCAGCUAGAAUCUACAUAAGUAUAGUCCGGCUUGCGCCGUACCUAAUGGCCCCGUGGUAGUCAACAUUCCCCAUUUAGGAAUGAGUCUCCCCCACGACAUUCCAUUUCGGCGCCCAAUCCCUCACGGGCGAGCAUGUGUCACGUAGGCUAACUCCGGAGUGCCGGCUUGUGAGCAGCGACCCUCACAAGCAUGUGCGAAUGAGCACAAUGGCAAGCAAGCAUAAUCAUCUAUAUCGAGUCUUCGGUCAUCAUGUCUAAAAUAUGGUACAACUACUAAUGACCCUUCGGUCGAUCUCUAUGUCAUAAUGUAAAGAUUCAACCGUUUACUAAAUCAAGUGUCACUAAAUGACAUUAAUGAUCACUAUGUUAAGCGUAAGUCAUUUGUCCAUAAGCAUGUAAAACUUGUCAUUUUACUAGUCAUAGCAUGGUUUCCAACAUAUGGUAUAAUGGUUGUCCUUUCAUAUGCAAUUCUAUAUAUAACUAUCACUCUACUAUAUAGAAGAGGUAAAACAUGACAUAUGACAUAUGCAUCUUAGGCAUCCACAAAUUUAUUUAUACUCUAUCUAGCAUGAAUAUGCAUGAUUUUUUAUUUUACAAUAAAGAUAAUGACGUAGGAGGAGUUCGCUCAUUUCGGUGAGGUCAAACCCACUGGAUACCCCUCGAACCCCUUUGUUUGCACAAACGAUGUUGCCUACUAGUCUCCUAACUCCCUAACAAAAAUUCUAAGAGGGUUAGGGGCUUCGAACGAACACCCCACGAAAUCCUCAGAAAUCAACCCAUAAAUAGGUAGAAAUAUACCUUGUAUGGCUAAGAACUCUCCCAAGGUUCCAAUGAGAGUCAGAACACUUCAAUUCCAACCUAAAGGAAGGUAUUAGAACCAUCAAUUUAGCCUCAAAGGCUCUACCAAGAGAAACCCCAAAAUAAAACCCUAGUUUCCAAAACUAGGUUUUCAUCCAAAAAAUUCAUCACAACACAAUCCAAAGGAGCAAUAUGUGCUACUAACCUCUCAACAAGAACCAAACUAAGCUAAGAAGAUGCUAGGGUUGAAGAUCUUUCCUCAACAAAGCUCUAAUCUUCACACCAAAGCUUCUCCAAGUUGAGAGAACCAACACCAUGCAAAGAGGAGAGGAAAAGAGAGAUCAAUCCACCAAAUCUCUUGCAAAAGAGAGAAAAAAUCAAAGAGAAGAAGAGGAGGGGGCUUACCACCUUUCUCCUCUGGUUUUCAGCAUAAGGAACCCUGAUGAGGGUGUGGGGUUAUUUAUAAAGAUGUAACAAUCCCAAAAGGCCCCCCAAAAAUAAGCAGUCUGCGAACUGCACUGCGUACCGGUACUUGGGUUGGAGUACUGGUACCCGGCAACCAGACUCGCGCAACCCGAGCCUCUGCUAAGCAAACAGCUCGCAGUAUACCGGUACCCGCACAAUGCAGUACCGGUACCAGACUCCAGUACCGGUAUUCGGACAAGUCAAUACCGGUACUCUGCCUCGUAGAGCUCAAACCCGAGAGCACCCCUCUCGGUGGCGCGACGGGGUUCCGGUACCCCUCUGUGGCACCAGUACCUAGCACCCCAAAACCUGCAGUUUGGAGGUUUUAGUGCUAAGUACCCGCUCUCGCUUCUCAAGACACGAGUAAAUAGGUCGAAACACAGUCUACGACCCUCAAACACACUAAGAAUAGUACUAAAUACUAUUAAAACACUCUAUACCUUUCAAUUUGCUAAAGUUCAGUGUGCUACAAAAAUGUAUUCCAAUCCUAGUAUAAUUAGAAUUACUAUUCUAAAUGAUAUCUAAAUCCACAUUAUUUUAUCUCUAAUAGAUUUAAAUAUUUAUCCUAAUUCAUUAGAAAUCAACUACGAAGCUAACCAAACUCUAACAAUCUCCACCUUAGUUUGAUUUGUCUACUUCAACUACUGUGUCAAGCUUACCAUGCAAUCUCCAGUUUGAGCUUAUCUCUUCUACUCGGUGUCACCGUAUCCGCCGCUCCAUCUUGAGUGACUUCAUCUCUGCAAACUUUUGGAACCCAAACUGAUUUUGCUUCUAUUCUUAUUGUGUUCCCAUUCAGAACGUAUAAGUUUCUAUACUAGUUCGCCUCGUACAUGACCGGAUCUUGCUUUUGAACCCUUAUAGCUCCACGUGUAGCUAAAAAAUCGCAACCUUUCGAGUCCAACACAUCUAGCAAGAUCAAAUUUCGCCUCAAACCAGGAAUAUGCUGCACACCUGUCAGCAUUCUCACAGCCCCAUUAUGCAUCUGGAUCUUCAUCAUGCCAAUUCCUAAAACUUUGCAUAUUGUCCCAUUCCCUAGAAGAGCUUUUCUACCUCUAAUUGUGUCACACCCCGUGCCCCACCUAUUUUGUCAGGUUCGGGCACGCCAACAGACUGCCGAACGGAUAGGGUUUUUCCUGUACGUCCAAGAUGUCGCAAUCAAUAUAAUGCACGAAGUUCCAACCAGGAACACAUUUCAACCAAAGAUUGCAUAAGGAAGUAUCAAAAAUAUAAAACAACUAAGUUAUUGCAACAUUCAUCUUUAGGUGCGUUUUACAUCACAAUUAUUAUCACAUUUUUCCAACCUCAGAAUGCAAUCCAAGUUACAAUGAUUUAUUACAAGUUUAAUUCAUUCAUCUUGUUCUUUUCAUUUUUCUCUACCCCUAGGCUAUGCCGACUCGGGGUACUGCUAUCUCUGGUCUCUGGUUAGGACGCUAUCUACCGAGCUACGCUCUUGCCUCGCGCCGCCGCGCCGCUCACGUACAAACUUGUAACACUCCAAAACAACGUGGAGUGAGAACCAACUCCAUGGUUCCCAGUGGGUACGGCCACCCAAGAAAAAAGCUCGACCAAUAGGUCCAAGGAGGCACUGCAAUCAUGUUAGUCCAAAAACAUCUACAGAUAUAUAUCAUCAUGUUAUUAUGCAACUAACAGAUAACAUGCCUCACGAAAUGCAAUAUGAACAUUAUGUAAAUCCUGUAACUCAUGCAAAUAGAUUAAUUGAUUCUACUUCAUAUUAUUAGCCAUUCUUUACUUGUAGCCGUUUUUUACUUUAUUAGCUAUUCUUAUUCGUUAGUCGUUCUUUACUUUAUUAGCUAUUCUUAUUGAUUAGUCGUUCUUUACUUUAUUUUCUUGUCACACUAUGCUCAUUGGCGAUUCUUUCCUAAGGUUACCUUUACCUUAGCCAUCUGUGCCACUCGACUUGGUCUUGAGUCAAUCAACUGUGGAUAAUCCGCGCUCUGUCCAGCUCGAGGUGAAGUAACUCUCACAUGCACCUCAGCCAACUACAGCCCACCGCGCUCUAUGACUUAGCACCCGGCGGCGAAAUCGUCGCACACGCCUUGACAAUGGCUCAAGUCAACCGGCGAUAUAAUCCACAAACCGACUUAACCAUCCGGCGGCGAAAUCGUUGCACACGCCUCGAAAUGGUUUAGCCCCGGGCGGGGAAAUCAUCACACACGCCCAACACCACUCUCGGUGUUCCAAGUCUUGGGAUUCCAGAAUCCAUUUCCACAUAGCUCAAGGGUUGGUCUUAACCCUAUAGUGUCGACCUAUCUAGAUCCAAUGUCCUUUCUAUCCUAGGUCCCAUUAACACUAGGCUUGAUGCUUUAUCACAUAACCUAGGUUUACUUUAACUCUAGGUUUAUUUCACAACCUAUGUUCUUUAACACCAGGUUCAUAUUCAUUCUUAUCCAUCCUAGGUUUAUGUUCAUAUUCAACCUAUGUUCAAUAACACUAGGUUCGGUGCCACACUUAUCCAACCUAUGUUUAUUAACAAUAGGUUACAUGCCACACUUGUUCAACCUAUGAUUAUUAACACUAGGUUCAAUGCCACUCGAUCUACUUAACAUGCUAGUUGUCCAACCGAGUAUUUUACAGUUCACAUGCAUAUAUAAUCUAGCACAUCCUCAUAAUGCUAAUCAUUUAUGUAUUAUUAUGCACUCUCCUAGCAUCAUAUACUCAUGCAUUCGUGCAACUUUCUAGCAUUUAUAUAUUAUGCUCGUCAUGCAUUCUAGCAUUUCUACAUCACGUUAUAUGCAUCUACUUAGCAUUUAAUAUUAUGUCAUUGACAUGCAUUCUCUUUAGCAUUUACUACAUACAUCCAUCUAGCAUUUACAUGCAUCAAUAUGAAACCACAUUACUCUUAGACAUAGAGGCGACCUAGUCGCUUCGGUAAACACAACCCACCUCAAAACGCUUUCCGAUUGCUUGUAGUCACUUGCAAUCGGCUUCCUGCGGCACCCGUGAUCCGGUUCGGGCCGAACUCUCGCGUGACCACCCAAACGGCCACCAAUCCACGAUCCGAAAAUUAAAGGUCUACGGUUAGUUGCCACGAGCCCACGAUUCCGAUUUCAUAAUUUUUGGACGUCGCCUCGACCCUCCAGGCGGAAACGAAGCUUUAACGGUCCGUUUCUUCAAUAACUUCGCAUAGGCUUGACGAAUCGUCGAACUGACUUCACCAACGCGUUCAUGUACCUAGCAAUUAGGUUUGUAUAAGGUUAAUUUACAUUUAAACCCACCAAUGAUAAAAGUCUCAAUUUUGGUACCAUAAUAAUGUCAUAUAGCAAGAUUUCUUGGAUUGAUCUUGGAGCUAAGCAACAACAAGCUUAGAACCAUCCAAGAAGCUCUCUAAUACUAUUUCUAACUCGUUUGAACCAAUCCUAGGGCAUCUAGAGCUAACCCUAGGAGUUCACCAUGCGAGGACCUUGAGAAACCAUGGAUUUCAUGGUGCUCAUGCCACAAGAGAGUUUCUACACAUGUAAGAAGUCCAAAUCCAAAAGCUCUAGAGUACAAAACCAAACCCUAGCCUAGAUCUUACAUGGAAACCUCACCUUAGCCCAAAGCUCACCAAGCAACACCUUGUAGGAGAGCCUCCAAGCUUCAAACCCUCCAAUUCUACCUUCAAUCUCCUCCUAAUCCACCUUUGAUUUGAGUUUCUAGAGAGAGAGAGAGAGAAAUAAGUGUAGGGGGAAGCUUCACAGCUGCUGUGAAGAUGGAGGUGUUGGGGUUAUUUUAUAUGUUGCUACAAUAGCAACAAAACCCCCCAAAACUUCUUAUUUGCAGCAGACCAAUUUUGUGCUGUCAGCCCAAAGUGUACCGGUACACUUUCUCGUGUCACUAGUAACACGAUCUCGUAUGACCAAACCCAAGAGCAACUCCCUCAGGUCUGGGGCAUUUGUACCGGUACACUUUCAUUUUGUACCAGUACACUUAUCUGUACCAGUUACAACUCGAUCGUUGUACCGGUACACUUUACCCAGACUUAGUUUUUUGCUCCGUUUCGAUUCUAUUUCGCACCGAACAACGCUAAAACCUUUCCAACUCAUUCUAAACUCACUUUUAACCCUUCCAACCUUGUUGGAAUGUUAAAUAGAACUUGUCCAACUGUUUCUUUCGGGCACUUCGGCCAAUUUGGCUAAAGUCCAAUAUUUUCCACCGACAUUUCGGUAUGUUACAAAUUGCCUUAUAGGUGACAAAAGACUCCUUCUCUGGGUGGACAUAAAUGAAAACGUCGAACCGAGCACCCACGCAUAAUUCAAAUUUUCGCACCGCUAGUCGCCACAUGCAGUACAUGAGAAUCGAUCACCUCAGAUUCUACUGCCUGUGCCAUCGCUAAUGUCUCCUCAUACUGGUCCAUGAAGUUUUUCCCUUCUGCCAUUUUAGGUCCUUCGGUUCAUUCUGAAGUUUUCGACAGUUGUGCUUGAUGUGCCUUUUCAUGUGAAAGUAGAAGCACUCCACCUUUGAUUGCGGCUUCUUUCCUUCACCUCCGAUCGCCGAUAUUUUUGCCUAUUUCUUUGCUUUUACUACAAGAGUAGUAUCCUCAUGACUCUAUAUGAUGGAUUCCUAAGUUGUCUUCCACAUCUCAUAUGAGAGAAGCGAAGCCAUGAUUGCCUCCACGCUUAUAGUCUCCUUGCCAUAAAGCAAUGUGGUCACUAGAUACUCAUAUGCCAUCGAUAACGAAGAUAGUAAAAUCAGUGUCUUAUCCUCAUUAUCCAAAUUGACUCUAAUACUAGUCAAUUGGGCCACCAUCUUGUUGAAUUCGUUUAGAUGCUCAUGUAGGCUCAUCGUUUCUUACAUCAGCAGCGUGAAUAGUCGCUGCUUCAGAUACAACUUGUUCAUCAAGGAUUUGGUCAUGUAUAGAUCUUCUAAUUUUUUCCACAACUUCGUCGGUGCUGUCUCGCUGGCUAUGUUAUAAAGAACCUCAUCUGAUAAAAACAGAUAAAGCAUACUCAGCGCCUUCUGCUCCAUCUUUUUCCACGCCACAUCUGUGACCUCUACCGACUUUGCCUCUUUCCUAUUCAACGUCUUAUCCAACUCUUGUUGUACAAAGAUUACCCGAACUUUAAUUUGCCACAAUUUGAAAAUGUUCUUGUUGUCGAACUUCUCAAUUUCCAAUUUUUUGUGGCCAUCUUCGUCAAUCUCUUUCGAGAAUUGGUAACCUUAAGCUUUGAUACUAAUUGUUGGGAAUCUAGUACUCGCUUUAAUACCAGAUUUUGAGAAUCAGCAAUCUACUUUGAUACUUACUAUUGUUAAUCUGAUACCAGUUGUUGGGAUUUCACAAUAAAAGUAUCAAAUCAAAUUUUUACCAUAAACCCACCUCCUUGGCAAAAGCUGACAAAACCAGAAAAGAGAAGAAAUCAAAAAGUAAUAUAGGAAAAAUAAAAUUCACUAAAUAAGAGAGAUUACACUUGAUUAUUUUUCUGUAAUAGAGUAGCUUUAACCUGAGCCCUUUUUUUCUGAAUCUCUUUCACCCUUCUCUUGUCUUUUAUAAACCUAAAGACUCUUUCUCUCAUUUUCUCUCACAUGCAUCUGUGCACAAGGUGUCAGAUCGUUGACGCUAACUAUUAAUCACAAAAGCUCGAGCUGUUAGAAAUACGCAACCAAUUCACUUCAAGCGUACAGACCCAGCGCCUGCGGAUCUCGAUUAUGACUCAAUCCAACCAGCAUUAUGCCACUUCGAACAUGACUCGGCCCAAACCUGCCUUACAUUUUUUCGAAUGUGACUUAGCCUACUUGGCCUCCCGCCACAAGGUAGGAUACUGGCCCAUUUAAGCCAAUAAUCCCCCCUCCAGCACCUGCACAAAUUCUCAGCAUGCGAGAAUCGAACCAUGACCUCUGGCUAGGAAUGUAAAACGGGCCAGGCGGCUAGGGCCAAGCUAUAGCACGGCAUGGGUGUUGUAGCACCCGUGUCGGCCCGGCCUGACCCGAGCUUUCAGGCCGUGCUGGGCCUUUUCUCUUGAGCCUGAUGGCCCGGCAUCACAUGGCUCGAAAUAGGCUUGGGUUUUGCCGGGCCGAGGAGAGGCCGAUGAUGUAGUGUCCGUAGGUAAUAAGUGUCGGAAUGGCUAUACUAUCAGCGACCUCUCGUCACAUCUGUCGAGUGUCGGAAUGAGUUGGAGUCAUUUUGAUGCAGAAUGGAUGCAAAAAUGGACUCGACGCACACAAAUAAGCCAAAACUGAAGUUCUGCCAAUUUAGGGCGCCCAAAAGUGGUUUAGGGCGCCCAGAUCCUAAGUGCUGUUUUGAAUUAUAUGCUGAAGCCAUUUUGGACCUAGUUUAGGGCACCCGAAAGUUGAGCCUGAAAGUUUAUUUCGUGGGUAUCGAACGUGCUAACACGUGGCCUUGGGAGGUGAGAUCCGCCCGAACCGGAUAGCGAAGUACGGAUUGCCGGGAGGAGAGCCCGAAGUGCUGAAUUGUGCAGGUUGGAGAAAGUGGGCGCCCAGUUCUGGGUUUAGGGCGCCUGAAUCCUGGAAUUCCAACAGAGUAACAGGUUUGCAUUUAUUAUUCUUGGGGCUUAGUGUACCCUACCUAUACCUCUAUAAAAGCAAUUGGACGACCCUAGUGAACUCUUUUCUCCUCUUCUUCACAGGGAGCUCUAGAUCUUUGCAUGAAACCCCUCCAAUUCCCUCAAAUUCCAUCAUUUUUCAUUAAGGACUUAGAGAUUCUACAGAAUUCCAACAACAACCUGGAUAAAUUGUGGAAGUGUGCUUAGUGGGAGCUUCCAUUUGCUGUGGGGAGUGAUUUCGUGGAUAGAAGACUUGAUGGAGAGUAUGUGGGAUCCUUUUAACAGCUUUUAAUCUAGGUUUGUAAGGUUGAAUUGCUGAAUUUCUUGACGAUUUGGUGUUUUGAGCUAAAAAUUGAGAUUUUUGUGGAUUCUUAGAUCCGAUUCUUGCAGAGACUGGAUUUUUGGACUUGGAUUUGUUUCUUCGUCUUCUUCACUUAUUUAGAAGUUAUUCCUCACCAAAAUUUUAGAUUUUAAGGUAAGUAUAGCUCAAAUUUUGGAUGAAUUGAGCUUAUAAUGCAGUUUUUGAGGUUUUGAUGGAGAUUUUUGGAUUUGUAAGUCCAGAUUUUUGGUGGAGGGUUAUUGUUGGAUUUGGAUUGCUUUUUCCCUUAGCUUUGAAGGUUUGUGACCUUAUUCCAUGGGUUUUACAAGUUGAAAUUCUUAGAGUUGGGCUGGAACAAGCAAUUGCUUGUGUGUAGAAUUCUGGAUCCUGAUUUGGACCCUCUUUUCUGGAUCCAGAUUAUAGAGACUCUUUGGCUAUUUAGGAGCUUGAUCCUUGUGUGGAAACUAAGGAUUAGCUUUAUUGCAAUCAAAAGGUGAGUUUAGUUGGAUUAUUUCUACUUAAAUUCUUGAAUUUAAGCUCGGUUUGGAAUUCAAACUCGUGCUGUUUUUGGGACUGCAUCCAGAAGACUGAAUUGAUGUUCUGGGCACCGAGAUCUUCUAGAUCCUUGCGGUGGAGCUGAUUUGUAUUAGAGUUGAGUUAACUGCUGCACUUUUGAGUGAAGACUUUUAUUCAACAGAUUGGAUUAGCGCUUCAGGUGGGUUAAUGUUGACCGAACACUUCGGAAUUCCUCCUAAGUUUUAUAGCAUUCAGUAUGCAUAAUUAAGUGUUAUUCAUCAUGUUAGUAGCUCAUAUUUGUAGAUUUGCAUUACAUAGUAUGAAAUCUAAUUUUGGUGCAUUAAUUUAUGACUUUAGAUGAAUUUUGCAUGAUGAACUGGGAUUUGAUUUAGGAGAAAACUCACGAAACCUACACACUUCAUUUUUCGAAAAAGUUAUUAGAUUUAGCUUCAGGAGCUAUUUUUAAUUUUGUAUCAUUGUUGUUAGUGUGAGGUGGAUACUUAGAUUAGUGUAGAAUGAAUUUACACUUGUGCUGAGAUGCCGACCGAUUUUUACAGCAAAGUUUAAUCUGUUCCGUAUUGUCGGGUAUCGUCGGGGCAGGCGGUGGACCUAGAUCUUUUCCUUUUCUUGUAGAUUAUGUCUUGGGCAUGCGAGCCUUGGUUGUUAGAUCAGUUUGACCUAGUUGUUUUGAUUUUAGCCUGCAUGAGCCUGAUUGAGCUCGAUAGAGACACACUUGCAUACUCGGUUGGAUCGCGCCCAUGAGUGCUGUUCCGGAGUCUUGCUUUCUUGCGUUAAUGUCGCAGCAGUACCAUUUGGGCAAUGUUACUUGGACUGGCCACCCACGUGGGUGGUGUGUGGUGUAAUUUGGGUGCAGGCUGGACUGGCUAGUUGGCGGUCCCUUAGGAUUAGGUCAGUAGUGACUGUUCAUAGCUAGUGAUGCAUGUGUCUACAAAGAGCAUGACAUGGGUAGUGGUAGUGUAGGGACAUUUUAGCUGUAGAGUCUCUUCCAGCUCAGUUUACUAUUCUUUUACCCACCAGUUUUCUUGUUAGCCUUAUAAACUUAGUGGACAGGCUGUUAGGAUCGGCGAUGGUACCUACUGAGGACUACUUUGUUUUAUAGUAGUUCUCACACCCGCUGUUGUCAUUUUUUCUUGCAGAGCUGUAGGUUGCCGCUGCUGCUUCCGAUUGAAGUAAGGGAGUCGUGAGCUAGAUCCCUGUCUACCUGGUCAUCUUACUAGUGGAGUACCCUAUUUCGGCCUAGUUACUUUUGAGAGUGGCCAUAUACAUACAGUCAUGUUUACUUUUGUUUUCUGAGUUGUUGUUGUACUUUUGUGUAUAUAGAUGUAUUUUGGAGACGUGUAUGUACAAUUGGCUUUAUCUUUAUAUAUAUAUGUUUCAGUUUUAACAGCUAUGUGCUCUCUUGUAGUUGUACUUAUCUAUUUACAGGUUCAGCUAUUGCUUCGUAUGCACGAAAUUUUUUUUGUAUACGAUGGAUCUGUUGGCAAGCCCGGGGAACAUAGGAAUUCGAGGCGUGACAGGUGACCCGACAGGCACGGCCCGCUUGGGCCGUACUAGCCAGGCUAGCACAGCCCGAACCCCUAGGCCCAAGGCAAGUUGCCUUCGGCGUGGAGUCUGAUCUCCUACCUAGGAGAUUUCCUCCCAAGGUCUGCCUAGCAGACUUUGGGAGGGUUGGUCUUGGUCCAAUGGACCAAAACAAUUUUGGUCCAUUGGACCAAAAACACAUCUUAAUUCUUUUUUUCCAAAAAAAAAUGCAAAUAUAGUAUAUUUUAAAAUUUUAAAUAUUUGUUAUUUUAUAAUUAUUUUUAUAAAUUGAAAUUUUUAAUCAAAAUAUCAAUUUAAAUAGAAAUAAUUUAUUGUUUAUAUUUUAGAUUAUAUAUA
RNAcentral lists this long non-coding RNA (29150 nucleotides) under Ananas comosus (pineapple). RNAcentral describes it as "long non-coding RNA (ACOM_LNC009199)". Lineage: Eukaryota; Viridiplantae; Streptophyta; Magnoliopsida; Poales; Bromeliaceae. The record is from RNAcentral.